GUCCAGCGAUAUGUUUGGCAUAAAUGGUCAACGCCGGUCUUCUUCAUUCCAUUAUAAACAGUCAUCCUUGAGUGCAGAGGCUAAGAAGAGACUAUCAGAAAGGUGGAAAACUACUUGUGACUACCAUAACAUGGGUGUGGUUAGUAGGAGUUGCACACUGGCUGAGAUGCUUGCCAUGCCUGAGAAGGAAACUAUGCCUACAUGUAUGGAACCAAGGUAUCGAGGAGAAUCCAGUGGCAAAAUUUGUAAUGAU
This 253-nucleotide unclassified non-coding RNA is filed under the name Hevea brasiliensis (rubber tree). The record is from RNAcentral. Lineage: Eukaryota; Viridiplantae; Streptophyta; Magnoliopsida; Malpighiales; Euphorbiaceae.